This is a long non-coding RNA of Rhineura floridana, 273 nucleotides long. RefSeq lists it as uncharacterized. The transcript has 3 exons. Lineage: Eukaryota; Metazoa; Chordata; Lepidosauria; Squamata; Rhineuridae. The record is from RefSeq and is a predicted model, not a curated record.
GUGCUUGUCUAAUCUACUGUAGCUGUAGUAUUUUUAAAUAAGAUAAGGAAUCUCUCUCUUUUUCAAUGACUAUGUUUUGAAUAUACCUUCAACAGAGGAUGCAGAAGCUGUCUUUGCAUAAUCUCAAAAAUAUGCAGAUGGAGGAAAGAGGUCUGGAAAAGCAACAAACCAUGGAAUGGGGGAGAGGCAAAUUCCCUUCGUUUUCUGUACCAUCGAUCCAAUGAUAGUCCAUCUACUUUUUUCCAGCAUCAAAGUAAUUGAAUGGCAGGCAGC